This 485-nucleotide long non-coding RNA is filed under the name Sus scrofa (pig). Its description in RNAcentral is "lncRNA (ENSSSCG00065014771.1)". Lineage: Eukaryota; Metazoa; Chordata; Mammalia; Artiodactyla; Suidae. The record is from RNAcentral.
UGGUAUUUCUAUUUCUGCUCUAAUAAAUGCACUCCCUUGUAGGCUGACCUAUAAAAUCCAUCUCCAUUUUCACUACCUCAGGCUCUUCAUCUUGUUCAGAGCAUGCUGGAAAGUGGCAUAAAGAACAUGAAUAUCUAAGACAUCAGAGUAAAUGCAAAAUGUAUCCUGAAUGAGCAACACAUUCUGUUUAUUCUAUGGAUCUAAUAUACUCUCCAUGCCUGGGACAGUGGAUGGGAUCAAAGGUGGGCUGCAUUUGGGGACAGCAAGAACAAACCGAAAAACAUGCACCAGUGGAGCACCUGAGAACCAGUGAAACCUACAAAGAUAAACUAAAACCCAUGUCUGUCUCCUACCACCUCCAAACUCCAAAGAUACAGAUGCUCAGCAAAAGAAGCUACCUGUGCGCCUGCUCUGGGACUUCAGGAAGUGGAAAGAGACAGGGGAGCUGUAGAUGAGUCCCAGCACACAUGAAUGUCAUGGUACCC